This 494-nucleotide long non-coding RNA is filed under the name Rattus norvegicus (Norway rat). Its description in RNAcentral is "long non-coding RNA NONRATT004588". Lineage: Eukaryota; Metazoa; Chordata; Mammalia; Rodentia; Muridae. The record is from RNAcentral.
CCAUAUCUAGCCUGGUUUUAUUUGAUUUUUUUGAUCAGAAAACAUCUUUUUUUUUUUUUCUUUUUUCUUUUUUCUUUUUUUCGGAGCUGGGGACCGAACCCAGGGCCUUGCGCUUGCUAGGCAAGUGCUCUACCGCUGAGCUAAAUCCCCAACCCCAAGAAAACAUUUUAAAAUUUGAAAAUGUUCGAGUCUAGAAGAUGAGUUGUUGCCCCAUCUCCAAUUUUCUUUAGAUCUUCAGUAAAAGGCACUGCCCCAUAAAUGUAUUGUCCCACUGGUGCCUUAGGAAGCACAAGGUGGAGCUAGAGAGGAGGCUUAUUUAUUAAGAGCAUUGUUGCUCUUACACAAGAGGGCCUGGGCUUGGUUACCAGCUUCCACAUGGUGGCUCCCAACCAUCUCUAACUAGUUCUAGGGGAUCUGACACUUUCUGACCUCUUCAGGAACUAGGCACACAUGUGGUGCACAUGCAUCCAUGCGGGCAAAAUACUCAUACACAU